RNAcentral lists this ribosomal RNA (475 nucleotides) under uncultured bacterium. RNAcentral's name for it is "bacterial SSU rRNA". It matches the Rfam family "Bacterial small subunit ribosomal RNA", at positions 328 to 793 of the family's 1533-position model. The record is from RNAcentral.
CGCUAUCACUCCUACGGGAGGCAGCAGUAGGGAAUCUUACCACAAUGGGCGCAAGCCUGAUGGAGCAACACCGCGUGAGUGAAGAAGGGUUUCGGCUCGUAAAGCUCUGUUAGUUAAAGAAGAACACGUAUGAGAGUAACUGUUCAUACGUUGACGGUAUUUAACCAGAAAGUCACGGCUAACUACGUGCCAGCAGCCGCGGUAAUACGUAGGUGGCAAGCGUUAUCCGGAUUUAUUGGGCGUAAAGAGAGUGCAGGCGGUUUUCUAAGUCUGAUGUGAAAGCCUUCGGCUUAACCGGAGAAGUGCAUCGGAAACUGGAUAACUCGAGUGCAGAAGAGGGUAGUGGAACUCCAUGUGUAGCGGUGGAAUGCGUAGAUAUAUGGAAGAACACCAGUGGCGAAGGCGGCUACCUGGUCUGCAACUGACGCUGAGACUCGAAAGCAUGGGUAGCGAACAGGAUUAGAUACCCUGGUAG